This 402-nucleotide ribosomal RNA is filed under the name uncultured bacterium. Its description in RNAcentral is "bacterial SSU rRNA". It matches the Rfam family "Bacterial small subunit ribosomal RNA", at positions 355 to 774 of the family's 1533-position model. The record is from RNAcentral.
UCGGGAAUUUUGGGCAAUGGGCAAAAGCCUGACCCAGCAACGCCGCGUGAGGGAUGAAGUAUUUCGGUAUGUAAACCUCGAAAGAAUGGGAAGAAUAAAUGACGGUACCAUUUAUAAGCUCCGGCUAACUACGUGCCAGCAGCCGCGGUAAUACGUAGGGAGCAAGCGUUGUUCGGAUUUACUGGGCGUAAAGGGCGCGUAGGCGGCGCGGUAAGUCACUUGUGAAAUCUCGGAGCUUAACUCAGAACGGCCAAGUGAUACUGCUGUGCUAGAGUGCGGAAGAGGCAACCGGAAUUCUUGGUGUAGCGGUGAAAUGCGUAGAUAUCAAGAGGAACACCUGAGGCGAAGGCGGGUUGCUGGGCCGACACUGACGCUGAUGCGCGAAAGCCAGGGGAGCAAACG